AGACAAUUUAGCUGCAAAAUCUGUCACCCAACUGAUCACAAAGUUUGAUUUGGAUGAUCUGGCUGGCUAGCCAGUUACCAGCUUCUUCAUUCACUGUUCCGUUUGCAUCCUUCCCAAAGCUGUACACUUAGUGGAAGAAAACAUCCAUCACAGAUAGGAGUAUACCAUUCUUUGGUCUCUUAAAAAAUUACUUUUUCAGGG
This 201-nucleotide small RNA is filed under the name Salvator merianae (Argentine black and white tegu). RNAcentral describes it as "7SK RNA (ENSSMRG00000013375.1)". It matches the Rfam family "7SK RNA", at positions 9 to 215 of the family's 331-position model. Rfam says of the family: 7SK was discovered as an abundant small nuclear RNA in the mid-70s but a possible function has only recently been suggested. Two independent studies have found that 7SK RNA binds the CDK9/cyclin T complex (known as elongation factor P-TEFb). P-TEFb activates transcription by phosphorylating the C-terminal domain of RNA polymerase II. Lineage: Eukaryota; Metazoa; Chordata; Lepidosauria; Squamata; Teiidae. The record is from RNAcentral.